AUCAACUUUCGAUGGUAGGAUAGAGGCCUACCAUGGUGGUAACGGGUAACGGGGUGUUAGGGCACGACACCGGAGAGGGAGCCUGAGAAACGGCUACCACAUCCAAGGAUGGCAGCAGGCGCGCAAAUUACCCAAUCCCGACACGGGGAGGUAGUGACAAUAAAUAACAAUACGGGGUUCUUUCGGAUCUCGUAAUUGGAAUGAGUACAAUUUAAAUCUCUUAACGAGGAACAAUUGGAGGGCAAGUCUGGUGCCAGCAGCCGCGGUAAUUCCAGCUCCAAUAGCGUAUAUUAAAGUUGUUGCAGUUAAAAAGCUCGUAGUUGAAUUUCGGGGUCAGUAAGUUGGUCGUGCCACUGGUAUGCACUGGCUUUACUGAUUCCUCCUUCUUGAAGAACUGURAUGYCAUUMAYUUGGUGUUGCAGGGAAACAGGACUGUUACUUUGAAAAAAUUAGAGUGUUUAAAGCAGGCUAACGCUUGAAUACAUUAGCAUGGAAUAAUGAAAUAGGACGUUUGACCCURUUUUGUUGGUUUCUAGGAUCGACGUAAUGAUUAAUAGGGAUAGUUGGGGGCAUUAGUAUUCAAUUGUCAGAGGUGAAAUUCUUGGAUUUAUUGAAGACUAACUACUGCGAAAGCAUUUGCCAAGGAUGUUUUCAUUAAUCAAGAACGAAAGUUAGGGGAUCGAAGACGAUCAGAUACCGUCGUAGUCUUAACCAUAAACUAUGCCGACURGGGAU
RNAcentral lists this small RNA (735 nucleotides) under uncultured fungus. RNAcentral describes it as "SSU rRNA". It matches the Rfam family "Eukaryotic small subunit ribosomal RNA", at positions 316 to 1064 of the family's 1831-position model. The record is from RNAcentral. Lineage: Eukaryota; Fungi.